Mesoplodon densirostris (Blainville's beaked whale) is the source of this 1952-nucleotide long non-coding RNA. RefSeq lists it as uncharacterized. The transcript has 3 exons. The record is from RefSeq and is a predicted model, not a curated record. Lineage: Eukaryota; Metazoa; Chordata; Mammalia; Artiodactyla; Ziphiidae.
CCCUUUGCUGCCCCUCGCGGAGGGAAACCGGAGACCCCUCGCGGGUUUCCGGACCGCGGGCCUAGGGGUGCUCAUUGUCCCCGCCCGCGACGGGUUCAAACCCAGCGUGUAGAGGGCUGUGGGACACGGGAGUGGAGUUUUUCGGGGCGACUCUGACCCCCGCCCCCCGACUCAGGCUCCGGCACGGGUUCUUACGUCUCCGCCCUGCUGUAUCUCCGUCUCGAAAUACAGGUGCCCUUCGGUUCUGAGCACUUGGAACAGUUUGUGAUGGAGUUUGAUUAAAGUGAACACAUGGCUGGACCUGAAAAUGAACACACACACACACACACACACACCCGCCCUGCACGGUUUACGCAGCCUCUCUAUCCGGAAUCUGGGAGGAAAGGCUCUUUGUCGGCCCCGGAAGGGGCAGGGGUCUGGGUUCUCCGCCUGGUUCCCUCACUUUCCCCAUCGCUGGGUCGGGGCCUCCCUUGCUGUUGGGAGGGGGUGUGGACGCGGACCUCCUGCGUGUGAAUAAGUGCGAAGCUGGAGGAGGGAGGAAACUUCAAUCUUAUGGAGCUCGUGUGUCUUCUCUCUCCGCUGGGGCCACGGAAAGUCGGGGGUUCCCUGUGGAAUGAGACAAGAGUCCAGACAGGGUGGGAUGUGUGAUGGUAAACCCCUGGAGGGCCAGAGGAAGGCCGCACAGAGGGUGACUGCAGCCUGUUUUGUUCUACGCACGCGCAGGAAGUGAAUUGAAACUCUGACGAGAUGCUCAACCCUGCCUCCUGGAAGCUCUAGAUUCAGACAAGUCAGUCUCCUCAUUUGCAGAUGGGGCUUCCCUGGUGGCACAGCGGUUAAGAAUCCACCUGACAAUGCAGGGGACACGGGUUCGAGCCCUGGUCCUGGAAGAUCCCACAUGCCGCGGAGCAACUAAGCCCAUGAGCCACAACUACUGAAGCCUGCGUGCCUAGAGCCUGCGCAUCGCAACAAAGAGUAACCCCGACUCGCCGCAACUAGAGAAAGCCCGCACGCAGCAACGAAGACCCAACACAGCCAAAUAAAUAAAUAAGUAAAUUUUAAAAAAACCCAAAAAACUAAAGGAUGAGUUUUGCAAGAUAUGAAGUCCUGGAGAUCUGUACCCAGCAAUGUGGAUGAAGUGAACACCACUGAACUGAACACUUAAAAACAGCCACAAUGGUACAUUUCAGGUGAUGUGCUUUUUACCACAAUUUUUAAAAAGGAGAGUAAUAGACAAGCUUCAGAAAAGUUGGAAAAGACUGAAAACUAACAAAAGGCAACAUCCAACCCCCAAACACCAUUAAUUAAUUAAUAACAUUUGGACACACUUCCUGCUGUCUUUUCUUAGCCCUGAUGUCCCUCCCUCUAAGAGGAAGGCCUUUGCGGGGACUGCAGGCUGGAGCCCAUCCAGGUAGAGGUGUCCCGGGAGCUUCAGGAUGGCACCCAGCCGGGGGGCUGGAGGGGAAUGGGUGGUGCUUUCCCACUGGCUCUGCCCAGCAUGCCUCCCCCUGCCAUUCCAUCUGCACCCCCCGCAGGAGAACUGUAGUGUUCUCUGCCCCCUUCUCUGUGACUUCUGCUGUGUCUUCUCCUUGGGGACAUUGGGGCACAUAACUCACCACUAAGAAAGGUCAGUGCCGCAGGGAGUCUGAGGUCGGGCAGGUGGGCUCCAUUUCGGCUCUGCCGCAGGGAGACGUGGGCUGUAAUUGCAGCCCCGCAGGGUCGCUGGGCAUAUUGUGGGGGGAUAUGGAAAGUCUUCUUUCUCUCUUGGCGCCCCGUACAGAGCAGGUGCUCGGCAUGUGUGGUUGGUACCCCAUAAACGCACAUCUCCGUCCCGUGUUGUAGAAGGCAACCUUGCUUGCUUGCUUGAGACCACUGGGCUCUAAAAAAUUAAGGGUACAUUAAGCAAAAUAGAAAUUGAUGUAAGUGAUUAUGUGAUUUGGAAGGUAGUUGUUUUU